RNAcentral lists this long non-coding RNA (3698 nucleotides) under Homo sapiens (human). RNAcentral's name for it is "HSALNT0354538". The record is from RNAcentral. Lineage: Eukaryota; Metazoa; Chordata; Mammalia; Primates; Hominidae.
GGAAUUCACAGUUUGAAAAGAAAGCAACUUGUUUUUGUAAGACUCAUUUCCAGAGAGCCAGCUCCUCUGUUUCCAUUUGCACCAGAUGACUUCAGGUCAGCAGAAUAUGGAAAGGACAGUCUCAGCCAAGGCUCCAAGAGCCUAGGCUAACAAGGCCCUAGGGGAAAGGCCUUCAAAGGGUACACAGAUUACUUACUGUGUCUGCCAGUGAAACUGACCAAAAGGAAGCAGACCUGCCGGUGCAGGCCAGGCACCAGGAAGUGUGAAAAUGCCGUGUUAAUGGCCACUGACUGUGGACACUCCUACAAGCUGUUCUUUGGAAGUCUGAUCUGGUUUGGCUGAAGGGCUGUGCCAGUAAGAACCACUUCCACCCAGCUGCUCUGCAGAAUUGGGGCAUCAGGAAGUUUGACAACGUGCUUUUCAUGAUCAUCAACAGUUGAAGAACCUGGAAUUCAAAGAAGGUCCCACAUGCAGUGAGUGAUGAGCAGAACCUGGGCUCCACCCAGGCCUGACUGAUGCUAGAGCUUUAAUUACUUCACUACUGCUCAGACUGAGAGAAUGGCCACUGACAUUGGUGGAGAAUGCAGCAGAGCUCAUCACCUUCACCACCAGGCUGUCUGCUCCCUCAUCCAUCCUGAAGGGUCUCCAAUCACCAAAAAGACUCUAUUCCUCCUAUGCAUAUCAGCAACAUUGAGCCAGGAAACUCUCCAUAAACCCCACUUAUUCAAGCCACACAAUAGACCACUCAUGGGGAGGAUGUUCCUCCUCCCACCUCCCAUGUCACUGAAGGUUGGGAGUCCGUGUUCUCCCGGCUUGUAUCACCACUUCUGGAUUAGAUUUCCUCACUCCUUCCAUACAGUUCCCACUUACUGAAAGUGUUUGCCUGUGAUUCCACCUUGGGGUACUCCUAGCACUUGAUCAAAAGACUUUAUGUCCUGGCCAAUCCUCUAAAUUCUCUGAAGAUUGGCCUCUGCCUUUCCAUCUUCUCCCACCACAGGCAUUGCUAUUAUUGGUGAUUUCGGCAUUGGGUGAUCCUUUCAACAACCUAGCUUUGCAGAUUCCUUGCCCUCUUCAUCCCCUAUGGUCUCAAUUUCUUCACUUUGGCCACAUUAUCCCAAUUCACUGAUCCACAAUAUACUAUUUUAUAGGCCUUCUAGGAACUUCCAGUUUACCGACUCCUUUACUUUCUCCUUACUUCUCAGGACUCCCCUGUUUCCACUUCUCUCAUUAUCUAGCUAAGAUUUUAUUGAUAAUCACAUUAAUUACUGUCUUCAAAAUCUUUAAUUUCUUAAGUUGUAAUUAUCUUAUUAUGAGUCAUCUGUAAAACUUCAAACCUGAAUAAACUCAACUUGCUAUUUUCUCAACCUUGCAGUUGGGUUGCUGAGUAAUUGUGGAAAGAAAAAAAAAAUCGCUCUCAAUUGGAAAUGCUCUUAAUUCAUGGUCCUCAACCUUAACUAGGUCCUUAAUAAUGCCCAGGGAUCUAUUAUGUUUCUAUGGGAAGUACUUUCCCCUUUUCUGAGGCAGCAUAUUUCAAACUGUCUUCUUUGCUCUCAAACCUAUGACUCCCACCUCUCUCGCUUAGUCUCCGUAUGACCUUGACUCCACAGAAAAAAACAAAAGCCAUCAGUCAAAGCUCCCUCAACUUUGUGUCAUAAAAGUUACACACGUAUUUGCAUCUUCACUCAUUACUUCCUUCCACGCUCCUGAUAGACCGAAAGGAAUGUCCUUUAUCUUACCAAAAACUGGAUCCCAUACUCUGGAUCUCAUCCUUUUUGAUGUUCAGAAGAAUGUCACUCCACUUAUAUCCCUUCUCUAGUGGCUACAUCCCAUUAGCAUGUAGAGGUAGCAUGAUGCUUUGUUUUGGGGCUUUAACGUCACCUACAGCCAGAAUUGUAAUGGUAAUAACAAUACUUUUUACUAAGUACUUAUUUUAUGGCUACACCAUGAUGUUUGACGGUCACAAACUUCGACCAUCUUGGGCCUUCCUGUUUCGUGUUUCCCCAUCUCUCCGGUUGAUCUCAUGCUCUUUUGUGAUGAUUUCAAUGAGUUCAUUUACCCAAACCUGUAUCUCUAUCUCAAGUCAGUUUUCUGUGCUCCAGGCUUUAUUUCAAUGGUCUUUUACAGACUGCGCUGGGAUAUCUCAAAGGUACUUUAUAUUCAAUAUUUAUAACGUCUCCCUUCUUCUCCCCCAGCCUUUCACUAAGCCCAUUUCUUUGCUCAUGUAUUUCAAUUUCAAUGAAUAGUGCCAUAAUUUUCCCAGUUAAUCAAUUUAGAAAAGUAAUAACAUCCUUGUCCUCCUUCUUUGCCUCAGUUUUCACAUGUAACAAUUAUUAAAUUCUCCAAAUUCCGUUUCUCAACUGUACGUUGAAUAAGCCUACUCAUGUCUAACUUCAGGUUUACUCACAGGCCACCCUCUGCUCUCUCACUCCAAGUUCAAGGUAUACAUUACCCACUCCUUGUAUCAUUUCCCACACCCCCAUCCCUUUUACAUAUUCUUCCAUCUGUUUUCCACUCUAAUACUACCUUUCCUGGCCCCAAGGCUGAGUUGGGUACCUCUUCUCUCUGAAUCCAUAGCAUUGUGAUUACCAUUAUCAUAUCAGUUACACUGUUUCUUUAUUUUUUAAAUUUCCUGUUUACUCACCUAUUUCACUCACUGUCUAGUUCAUCACUUUGUCUUGAAUAACUAGACUAGCCUUUGGCACAUAAUAAGUGAUAAAUCUAUAUUGGUUGAAAAAAUGGCCCAUUUUAGGCCAUAACUUUGUUUUCUAUUAGUUGUACAGUGACGUUCAAAAUUGUAUCACUCAACAAGUGUAUAACGUUUAAAAGUCAGCUUCACUGAGGUAUGUUUACAUGCAAUAAAACCUACCAAGAUUGAGUGCAUAUUUCAAUGAGUUUAGACAAAUGUAUGUAACCACAACUACAAUAGUAAUAAUAUAGAGCAUUUCUAUCACUGCAAAAAAUACCCUUGUCUCUGCAAUAAAUUCCUUCUCCACUCCCUCAGGCUCUUGGCAGUGAUUUAUCUGUUUCUGUCACUAUAGUUUUGCCUUUUCUAAAAUUUCACAAAAUUUUAAUCAUAGUGUGUAGUCUUCUGACUCUGGCUUCUUUCACUUAGAAUAAUGCAUUCAUUAUGUUGUGCAUAUCAGUAGUUGGUUCAUUUUUAUUUGCAGAAUAAUAUUCUAUUGUAUUAAUAUGCCACACUUUUCUUAUCCAUUCACCAAUUAAUGAAUAUUUAGGUCAUUUCACUUAUGUUAUCAGUUAUUAUGAAUAAAGCUGCUGGGACCAUUCAAGUAAAAAUCUUUGUGUGGACAGACGUUUACAUUUCUCUAGGGUAACCACGUAGGAGUGGAAUUUCUGGAUCAUAUUGUAAGCAUUUGUUGAACAUUAUAAGAAAUUGCCAAACUUUUCCAAAAUAUUGUGCAUUCCCAUUAGCAACAUUUGAGUUUCCAGUUGUUGCACUUCUCACCAAAACUUAAAAUCAUUUUUUAAAAUCAUAGCCGUUGUAAUGGUUGUGCAGUGGCAUCUCACUAUGGUUUUAAUUUGUAUUUUCAUGAUGUCUAAUGAUGCUUAACAUGUUUCCAUAAGCUUAUUGGUCAUUUGUGUCUUCUUUUGUAAAGUGUCUGCUAAAAUUUUUUGCCAAUAUUUAUUGAGCAGUUUAUCUUCUUAUUUUUAAGCUGUAAAUGUUCUUAUAUAUAUAUUCU